Long non-coding RNA from Hypanus sabinus (Atlantic stingray), 438 nucleotides. RefSeq lists it as uncharacterized. NCBI's taxonomy places the organism in Eukaryota, Metazoa, Chordata, Chondrichthyes, Myliobatiformes, Dasyatidae. The record is from RefSeq and is a predicted model, not a curated record. The transcript is spliced from 3 exons.
UUUUUACGUUGCUGUAAUGUGGACAGAGUUACUGGAGAGACACGUCAGUGACAUCUGCUGCCCAGCUGAGAGUGGAGGGGAAGGUAACCUACCCGAAGAGAUUUUCACUGACCCUGUCGUGUUUCUUUGUUGUACUGUGAAUGCCUGCAAGAAAAUGAAUCUCAGGGCAGUAGAGAGCGACAUAUACCUACUUCGCUAAGAAACUUACUUUGAUCUCUGAAUUUUGAAUCUGUUUGUCGCCUGUGGGAAACAUUUGCAGACAGGAUUUUGGAAGUCAUGUGGAACGCCUCCUUCUCAAACAAGGCUGAAUGUUCACUAACAAUCUGUACAAAGACUCAACAAGGACAAAGUUAAUGUGCUACCCAGUAUAUGUGAAUUUCUAUCUCGUUGUAGCUAUUUUUAGAAACAAACAACAAAGCGUUCAUGAAGGACAAUCAA